CCUACGGGAGGCUGCAGUGAGGAAUAUUGGGCAAUGGGCGUAAGCCUGAACCAGCCAAGUCGCGUGAGGGAUGAAGGUUCUAUGGAUCGUAAGCCUCUUUUAUAAGGGAAUAAAGUGCGGGACGUGUCCCGUUUUGUAUGUACCUUAUGAAUAAGGAUCGGCUAACUCCGUGCCAGCAGCCGCGGUAAUACGGGGGAUCCGAGCGUUAUCCGGAUUUAUUUGGUUUAACGGGUGCGUAGGCGGCCUUUUAAGUCAGCGGUGAAAGUCUGUGGCUCAACCAUAGAAUUGCCGGUGAAACUGGGAGGCUUGAGUAUGUUUGAGGCAGGCGGAAUGCGUGGUGUAGCGGUGAAAUGCGUAGAUAUCACGCAGAACCCCGAUUGCGAAGGCAGCCUGCCAAGCCAUGACUGACGCUGAUGCACGAAAGCGUGGGGAGCAAACAGGAUUAGAUACCCUUGUAGUC
RNAcentral lists this ribosomal RNA (460 nucleotides) under uncultured bacterium. Its description in RNAcentral is "partial 16S ribosomal RNA". It matches the Rfam family "Bacterial small subunit ribosomal RNA", at positions 338 to 795 of the family's 1533-position model. The record is from RNAcentral.